RNAcentral lists this transfer RNA (72 nucleotides) under Sphaerodactylus townsendi. Its description in RNAcentral is "tRNA-Ala". It matches the Rfam family "tRNA". Rfam says of the family: Transfer RNA (tRNA) molecules are approximately 80 nucleotides in length. Lineage: Eukaryota; Metazoa; Chordata; Lepidosauria; Squamata; Sphaerodactylidae. The record is from RNAcentral.
GGAGCUGUGGCUCAGUGGUACACCUCCUGCUUUGCAUACAGAAGGCCCCAGGUUCCAUUCCUGGCAUCUCCA